AACGAACGCUGGCGGCAUGCCUAACACAUGCAAGUCGAACGAGACCUUCGGGUCUAGUGGCGCACGGGUGCGUAACGCGUGGGAACCUGCCCUUAGGUUCGGAAUAACUCCCCGAAAGGGGUGCUAAUACCGGAUAAUGUCUUCGGACCAAAGAUUUAUCGCCUUUGGAUGGGCCCGCGUUGGAUUAGCUAGUUGGUAGGGUAAAAGCCUACCAAGGCGACGAUCCAUAGCUGGUCUGAGAGGAUGAUCAGCCACACUGGGACUGAGACACGGCCCAGACGACGCCGGAGGGCAGGAGGGGGGAAAAUUGGAAAAGGGGCGAAGGCCGGAAACAGCAAUGCCGGGGGAUGAAAGAGGGACUAAGGGUUGAAAAGCCCUUUUACCCGGGCGGAAAAGGACCGUACGGGGAGAAAAAGCGCCGGCUAAUCCCGU
Molecule: ribosomal RNA, 432 nt
Filed under: uncultured bacterium
Lineage: Bacteria
Description: partial 16S ribosomal RNA
Rfam family: Bacterial small subunit ribosomal RNA
Source: RNAcentral